CGUCGGUUCCUCGCGACGAUAGGCUACAAACUCCGCCAGGCCCGGAAGGGAGCAACGGUAGUAGCUGAUUCGGGUGCCGGGGUUCGGCCGGCGGGA
This 96-nucleotide signal recognition particle RNA is filed under the name Lysobacterales bacterium CG_4_9_14_3_um_filter_62_6. Its description in RNAcentral is "Xanthomonadales bacterium CG_4_9_14_3_um_filter_62_6 signal recognition particle sRNA small type". It matches the Rfam family "Bacterial small signal recognition particle RNA". Rfam says of the family: The signal recognition particle (SRP) is a universally conserved ribonucleoprotein involved in the co-translational targeting of proteins to membranes. Archaeal SRP consists of a 7S RNA and homologues of the eukaryotic SRP19 and SRP54 proteins. In most bacteria, the SRP consists of a 4.5S RNA and the Ffh protein (a homologue of the eukaryotic SRP54 protein). Lineage: Bacteria; Pseudomonadati; Pseudomonadota; Gammaproteobacteria; Lysobacterales. RNAcentral also lists the same sequence under 1 other name. The record is from RNAcentral.